Molecule: non-coding RNA, 124 nt
Organism: Triticum aestivum (bread wheat)
Lineage: Eukaryota; Viridiplantae; Streptophyta; Magnoliopsida; Poales; Poaceae
Source: Rfam
GAGGUACUCCCUCCGUCCGGAAAAGCUUGUCCCCAGCUUGUUCUUCAAAUAUGUAUCUAGCAUCAAGUUAGUACUAGAUACAUUCAUUUGAGGGACAAGCUUUUUCGGAUGGAGGGAGUAGUAG